This 1158-nucleotide ribosomal RNA is filed under the name human oral metagenome. RNAcentral describes it as "bacterial LSU rRNA". It matches the Rfam family "Bacterial large subunit ribosomal RNA", at positions 1105 to 2317 of the family's 2925-position model. The record is from RNAcentral.
CUUAGAAGCAGCCAUUCAUUUAAAGAGUGCGUAACAGCUCACUAGUCAAGAGAUUCUGCGUGGAAGAUAUAACGGGGCUAAGCGUAAUACCGAAGAUAUGGAUUGCAAUUUAUUGCAGUGGUAGCGGAGCGUUCCUAUCGGCAGUGAAGCCGGACUGUUAAGUACCGGUGGAGCGUUAGGAAGUGAGAAUGCUGGAACGAGUAACCAUAAGACAGGUGAGAAUCCUGUCGGCCGAAAGAGCGAGGUUUCCUGGGCUAUGGUAAUCAUCCCAGGGUUAGUCGGGCCUAAGCCGAGGCGUUUAGCGUAGGCGAUGGACAUCAGGUUAAUAUUCCUGAACUAGUCAAACUUUGUAUGCAGUUAGCGAUGAGAUAGGUGGAGCGGAUUCAUGGUUUAUCCGUUCAAGUGAUAGAGGAAUCUUGAUCGAGUAAAAGUGAACCUACGGGUUUACGAUUCCGCUGAAGGCAUUGACCAGAAAAGCUGGCAUACGCAUGGGUUUGGCUACCCGUACCGCAAACCGACACAGGUGCUCGAGUCGAGGAGACUAAGGCUUACGAGAGAAUGAUUGCUAAGGAACUCGGCAAUACAGCGACCGUAACUUCGGAAUAAGGUCUGCCUACAUUUGUAGGCCGCAGCUAAAGAGCCCACGGAACUGUUUAUCAAAAACACAGGUCUCUGCUAACACGAAAGUGGAUGUAUAGGGGCUGACUCCUGCCCAAUGCUGGAAGGUUAAGGGGAGCGCUUCACGGUGCGAACUGAAGCCCUAGUCAAUGGCGGCGGUAACUAUAACCGUCCUAAGGUAGCGAAAUUCCUUGUCAGGUAAGUUCUGACCCGCACGAAUGGAGUAAUCAUGUGGGCACUGUCUCAGCGAAGGACUCGGUGAAAGUGCAUUGGCGGUAAAGAUGCCGUCUGUCCGUACCAGGACGAAAAGACCCCAUGGAGCUUUACUACAGCUUUACAUUGAAUAUGGUUUCAACAUGUGUAGCAUAGGUGGGAGACUUUGAAGCAGAUACGCCAGUAUUUGUGGAGUCACCAAGUGAAAUACCACCCUUGUUGUGAUUGUGUUCUCACGCUGACCGUUAUCCGGUUAGCGGACCGUGUAUGGUGGGUAGUUUAACUGGGGCGGUUGCCUCCUAAAGAGUAGCGGAGGCGUUCAAAGGU